This is a long non-coding RNA of Hyla sarda, 986 nucleotides long. RefSeq lists it as uncharacterized. Lineage: Eukaryota; Metazoa; Chordata; Amphibia; Anura; Hylidae. The record is from RefSeq and is a predicted model, not a curated record. The transcript is spliced from 3 exons.
UUCAUAGCAGGAGGCGGCAUAAAAGAAAAGACUUGUACAGUAGCCCAGAUUUAUCGGACUGUGUGAGAGAAAAAGUGGGGAGAUUUCCCCAUAUGCAGCCAAUCACAGCUCGGCUUUCACUUUACCUCAGCUUGUUAGCUGGUUGCUGUGGGAAAAUCCCUCCACUUUUUCUCUCGCAGGUAAGGAAAAAAAGUAUUUAGGAGACAACAAUUGCCACAGGAGCUGCCAAUACCACAUGAAUAACUACAGGGGACAAAGAACAGGUGUGUGAUGAAUCCAGAGCUGGGAGAAGAGGAAUCUGUGAGUAACAGGAGCAGUCUAAUAGGUGAUGAUGACAUCCUGUAGUGCACAGUAAGUCAGCUGACCCAGGACUGACUUCCUAUCGACACAUAAAACUUUUAGGACUCUGCAGAGCAACUGGGCCAAAAUAUUUUCUAGUCUGCACGUUGAAGACUGUGAUUUACAGAUUGUCUGGAGACAAGAAUAAGUAUCACAUCACGGAGUCUACAGUCCAUCUAGACUGGGGUUAUGAGAAUUGCAGCGACAGUGAUUCAGCCACUUCCAUCUCACUUUGUUCAGGAUAGACAAUGCCACAAGUUCAAGUUUCAUAAAGUAUUAUGUUCCUUUGACCUAACAUAAUGUUGUUUUGUUCCUCAAACCCUUCAAAGUCUGUGUUUAAAUCCAAUUAUGUUACUUCUUCUAUACUUUGUGUGGACGACAUGAUUACUCUUUCCCAUGACAAAAAGUUCAGAGAAAGCAGAGAAAUCAGAGGAAUGAUACUUAAAGCUUAUUUUAGGCAAGUGUGAUGUAACUAAAACCAGGUUUUCUUUAAAAUUAUAUACUAGGAGGAUUAGCAACUACAAAGCACAGAAGAGCUUUAACUAGUAUGUGUUCAGUAGGGAAAAUUAACUACUACUGUCUUUCUAUCUGAAAAGAUAUUCUAUGUGCAUUUAAAAAGUAGACACAAUUUAUUGGAUUGCCCUAAA